RNAcentral lists this ribosomal RNA (299 nucleotides) under uncultured bacterium. Its description in RNAcentral is "partial 16S ribosomal RNA". It matches the Rfam family "Bacterial small subunit ribosomal RNA", at positions 475 to 776 of the family's 1533-position model. The record is from RNAcentral.
CUAUGCGCCUUGCCAGCCCGCUCAGGUGUGCCAGCAGCCGCGGUAAUACGUAGGGGGCAAGCGUUAUCCGGAUUUACUGGGUGUAAAGGGAGCGUAGACGGCCGGACAAGUCUGAAGUGAAAAUCCAGCGCUUAACGUUGGAAGUGCUUUGGAAACUGCCGGGCUGGAGUGCAGGAGGGGCAGGCGGAAUUCCUAGUGUAGCGGUGAAAUGCGUAGAUAUUAGGAGGAACACCAGUGGCGAAGGCGGCCUGCUGGACUGCAACUGACGUCGAGGCUCGAAGGCGUGGGGAGCAAACAGG